Molecule: ribosomal RNA, 496 nt
Filed under: uncultured bacterium
Lineage: Bacteria
Description: partial 16S ribosomal RNA
Rfam family: Bacterial small subunit ribosomal RNA
Source: RNAcentral
AUGAACGCUGGCGGCGUGCCUAAUACAUGCAAGUCGAGCGAACAGACGAGGAGCUUGCUCCUCUGACGUUAGCGGCGGACGGGUGAGUAACACGUGGAUAACCUACCUAUAAGACUGGGAUAACUUCGGGAAACCGGAGCUAAUACCGGAUAAUAUAUUGAUCCGCAUGGUUCAAUAGUGAAAGACGGUUUUGCUGUCACUUAUAGAUGGAUCCGCGCCGCAUUAGCUAGUUGGUAAGGUAACGGCUUACCAAGGCAACGAUGCGUAGCCGACCUGAGAGGGUGAUCGGCCACACUGGAACUGAGACACGGUCCAGACUCCUACGGGAGGCAGCAGUAGGGAAUCUUCCGCAAUGGGCGAAAGCCUGACGGAGCAACGCCGCGUGAGUGAUGAAGGUCUUCGGAUCGUAAAACUCUGUUAUUAGGGAAGAACAAAUGUGUAAGUAACUAUGCACGUCUUGACGGUACCUAAUCAGAAAGCCACGGCUAACUACGUG